UCUACGAGGUGCUGCUUUGGCCGUGGUGUCCUUUCYGGCAGUUCUGCUAAAACGGAGGCAGAAGGGCUCGGGAGUGAGCUGUGAAUUGCCACGGAGGACCAGGCCUGUGGUGAUGGUUUCACGUGACUCUCUCAGCACUGUCCAGUGCUUUUAGGGAAAAACAGGCCACGCGAAUUGCAAGUGAAGGGAUCUGCUGCUUGUCCAGUCUGACACAGGAUGAAGGAGUAUCUCAGACYGUCUGUCCUUGGACUUUCAGCCACAUUCAGACUUGAAUGGAAACCUCAGUUUCACCCUUCUCUGUUUGCGGAGGGAACCCAAACUUGACUCAGGACUCCACCUGUGCACUAGGAUCUCUCUGACGGCCUUGUCACACCAGCAGAAUCGGACAGAAUACAGCUCCCAUGACGUAGCACACACUCCCUCGCAUCGCUUUCUUGUGUCCGAGGCCCUGGACAUCAUGGGAGAGACAGCCUGGGAAAGAAGUCCAGUGUGUGGGAAAGAAAAAAGGCAAAGAAAGCAAGAGCUAUGGUUUCUUUCAUGGUAUUACUCUAGCCAGAGAAUUUCUAGCCUGCCUGUGCUGAAUCCAAACUUUGCAAUACUGUUCAAUAAUCACUUCUGCAGAAACUGUACUUYAAAACAAACAAAUCAGUUUGACAGAAAACUCUGAGGAGCUGAAGAUAAAUUCAUAUACAAGUUUUUUUUAAAAAAACCUUAAUAUAUCUUGUUUUGUGAUUGGCAAUUAAUAUAGCAUAUAUUCAGAAUACUUUUACUGAAACUUAUAAUUCUCUUUUUGUUUAAUUCCUGGAAAUGCAUGAAC
This is a long non-coding RNA of Dromaius novaehollandiae (emu), 817 nucleotides long. The record is from Ensembl. NCBI's taxonomy places the organism in Eukaryota, Metazoa, Chordata, Aves, Casuariiformes, Dromaiidae.